RNAcentral lists this ribosomal RNA (116 nucleotides) under Coniosporium apollinis CBS 100218. Lineage: Eukaryota; Fungi; Ascomycota; Dothideomycetes. The record is from RNAcentral.
ACGGCCAUAGAUCAAAGAAAACAUCGGAUCCCGUCCGCUCUCCUGCAAUCAAGCUUUGAAUCGGUAGAUUAGUAGUUAGGUGGGUGACCACUAGCGAAUACCUACUGCUGUACGUU